CGACACUUCGUGGUGCGAUUCAAUGCGGCCACGCUCGAGGUCCGGGACCUCAACGAGGACAUGGCUGUCUCAGCCAUGAAGCGGGGCUUGAGAGCGUCCCGAUUCACUUAUUCUCUGGACAAGACCCUCCCCCGAACUUAUGCCGAGCUACUGGAGCGCGCAUACAAGUAUAUGCGCGCGGACGAAGGAGCGUCCGACCGACGCUUGGCCGAGCCCAGAGGCCCGAAGGAGAAGCGGAGGAAGGGUCGGGAGCCCGUCGAACCCAGCAGGCCCCCGACCAAUAGUCGGAUCUCUCCACCCCGACGGAUCCAAAAAUCACCCCGGCAGCAGACUCCGAGGCCGG
This 343-nucleotide long non-coding RNA is filed under the name Elaeis guineensis (African oil palm). RNAcentral describes it as "long non-coding RNA (EGUI_LNC022344)". Lineage: Eukaryota; Viridiplantae; Streptophyta; Magnoliopsida; Arecales; Arecaceae. The record is from RNAcentral.